This 497-nucleotide ribosomal RNA is filed under the name uncultured bacterium. RNAcentral describes it as "partial 16S ribosomal RNA". It matches the Rfam family "Bacterial small subunit ribosomal RNA", at positions 28 to 507 of the family's 1533-position model. The record is from RNAcentral.
GAUGAACGCUGGCGGCGUGCCUAAUACAUGCAAGUCGAGCGAACGGACGAGAAGCUUGCUUCUCUGAUGUUAGCGGCGGACGGGUGAGUAACACGUGGAUAACCUACCUAUAAGACUGGGAUAACUUCGGGAAACCGGAGCUAAUACCGGAUAAUAUUUUGAACCGCAUGGUUCAAAAGUGAAAGACGGUCUUGCUGUCACUUAUAGAUGGAUCCGCGCUGCAUUAGCUAGUUGGUAAGGUAACGGCUUACCAAGGCAACGAUGCAUAGCCGACCUGAGAGGGUGAUGGGCCACCCGGAAACGGAGACAGGGCCCAGCCCCCGACGGGGGGCGGAGGGGGGGAAUCUUCCGAAAGGGGCGAAACCCGGAGGGACCACCCCCGCGUGAGUAAUAAAGGUUUCCGGAUCGUAAACCUGUUUUAUUGGGGAAAAACAUAUGUGUAAGUAACUGUGCACAUCUUGACGUUACCUAAUAAGAAAGCCACGGCUAACUACGUG